AUGUCAUAUGACCACCUCAAAUCAGCUGUGAGAAGUUGCAUAUACAGGUCCUCAUAGUGGAGUAGAUUUUGUUGGUUAAAGGAAACUUUGUCUUCACCAGACACCACGAACUGCAGAUGAGGUAGCUAUUGUAUUGGUUGUUGUAAGUAAAAUACUACUAACCUCUCGCUCGGGGACAAAUCACCCGGAGACUGAGUAUCAAUGUAGAAGGCACCACCGUUCACACUGAUCAUGGCAACGAGACCACCCCCUCUCCUGGGAAAUAGGAGGCAAGGGCUAAAGGGGCCUCCUUCCCCUCAUCUGUCUUCAAUCUGAUGAAGGCCAUCAUGGGCAGUGCCAUCCUGGACCUGGCCUACGCAAUGGCCAACACUAGUGUAGUGAGCUUCUGGUUGUGGUCAAGAAAUGGGACAUCCCCGCCCCCUACCAAGCCAUGUGACCAGAUAUCGAAUUCCUUCGGAAUCGGAAUGUACGCCCAAACUCUGUCAUCUCCAGUAAGGUAUGUAUGCAUUGCAGUGGUGAUCGGUGCCAUUUUAUGAUGAGUGAGGACGAUAGAAAAAAUAUAUAAUUAUGCGCAUGGCCUUAUUUCUAUUACAGCACAUUGGAUGACUGUCAUUCAUAUUCCAUUCACUCCGCUCAAUGUAACAUCAAUACGUUUAGGCUACUACAUGAUACUCAAAUGUUCCCUAUACCCAUCAUGAGGUUGCUACAACCUAGCCUAUGAAUGAAACUUUACAACAUAAGUGCACAGGUCGAGAGAAAUUUGAGUAAUCAAGGUGACAGACAUUGACGCAUUCAAUACCGCCUUGCACACUCUUGUCUGUAUGUAGCAGAUCUAAGGUGUAAUCAUUAGUCCAGCAGUUGCAAACAAAUUUCUGUUGGACAAAUUCAAGUAUGUUUAUCCCCGUUUCGUUCUGUUUGCUUCCGUUUAAGAAACAUAAGCCCCUGAUCACAUGCAAACACAGUUCACUUUCAUAGCAGCCACAUACAAACAGCAAUGAUCCCUUUGAUUGUUGUAUAAUUCCUUAUUGGAUCUAUACAGUCUCCUCUCACCUUUUCCCUUCGCUUGUGGACUUCAGUGCACAACACAUCAGCUGUCUGUUAACAUGCGAACCAUUCCAAGCCAAACCUUAAUAUCAUAACUGCUAACAGCUACACACAGCCUACAUCGUUGUCACCAUAUUAGCUAACAUCAUAAUUAACAUAGCUACUAGAACUAACGCGUUACUGAACUGCUACAAUCACACAGGACCGUGUACAGCAAGCAGUUUAGCAGUUACACCGGCGGGCCCUGGUGGUUAUAAAACCAAAAGCUUACCUUGACUUGGAAGAGUUCCAGUGUUGGAUAGCCAUAGCCAGCUAGCUAACUUAGCAUCCCUCUCUGUUUGAGCCAGGUAUUAGAGUAGGCUAAACUAGCUAGCUGCAUCUAUGUCUCUUGCUUCUCCAUUUUUUAAGAAAUUAAUUUGUUCAAAACUGUUCAACUAUUGUUUUUCUCUGAGUCAACUACACACCACAUUUUAUGCACUGCAGUGCUAGCUAGCUGUAGCAUAUGCUUUCAGUACUUGAUUCAUUCUCUGAUCCUUUGAUUGGGUGGACAACAUGUCAGUUCAUGCUGCAAGAGCUCUGAUGGGUUGGAGGACGUCCUCCGGAAGUUGUCAUAAUUACUGUGUAACUCUAUGGAAGGGGGUGAGAACCACGAGCCUCCUAGGUUUUGUGUUGAAGUCAGUGUACCCAGAGGAGGGCGGAAGCUAGCUGUACUCCGGCUACACGAUGGUGCUACCCUACGGAGUGCUGUUGAGGCUACUGUAGACCUUCAUUGCAAAACAGUGUUUUAAUCAAUUAUUUGGUGACGUGAAUAAAUGUAGUAUAGUUAUCAAAAAAGGAUGACUUUAAUGUUUCACUAUUAAACAUUUUCUGCAAUUGACUGAUGAGGAUGGUCCUCUCCCUCCUCCGAGGAGCCUCCACUGAUGCAUUGACUCAACUUGUCUCCAUCAACCCUGGAUAUGUAGUCAGUAAAACAGACUGUAUAAUAUUUGUAAGCUGUAAUAAGCUUUAUUGCAAUUAAUAGUGCAGUGCAAUUAUUACAGUUGCAGAAGCAGUUUUCUGGAUCUUCUGGAGCUUUAGUAAAAGGCACCGUCUGUCUGUAGUUCUGAGUCACUGUCAGUGGUGACAUUUCCCAAUCAUUAAGAGUGCAGGACUGUGUAGUGUAUGGAAUCCCAUAUGCUCCAGAGCUGAGUGCAACCAGCAGCUGCCACUCACGUGUGAAUGUGCCUGUACUAUUAAUCUGUGUGUGUGGGGGGGGGGCGUGCAGAAUUACAUGGCACACAUGGUUAUAUGAUUCAGAUACCAUGAUAUAUUGCUGCCAGAAGAGGCAGUGCAAAAGUGUGUUUACUUGUGUGCAUGUAUUUAUAGAUAUGUCUAAAAGACUAAAUCAGAGAACUUCUCACCUCAACUUUACAUUAUCACACACUGCAGUUUUGCUGGUAAUGACUACUACUAUUAUUAUUACUCCUACUACUAUUACUACUAGACACACACACACACACACACACACACACACCACACACACACACACACUGCCCCCCCACACUUUCCCUGGGUAACCGUAUAAGUUGCUAAGGUGUUAAUGACGGCAGUGUAGUGAAUGAUGGAUGUGUGUUUGAGUGCUUACAUCAUCCCCACCAUGGCCUUCUCCUUCCUCUGCCACACUGCUGUGCUGCCAUCUACUGUGAGCUGGACCAGUCAGUACCCUGCCUGCCUGACUGACGCAGCCCUUACACAUCCUUCUAAACAGUGAUUUUUCUGCCAUUGUAAUCCUUGGGCUGGCCGUGUGUGUGUAAAAAAAAAUUAAAAAAAUAAUACAAUUAAAAAAAAUAAUUUAAAAAACCCGAAUAUAUUUAAUCAUUUUCGUGAAUGGAAAAACGCUUUCAGUGUAAACUUCAAUGACUAAAAACAGAUAAUUGGCUUAAAAAUGCUAAAUGAAGUGGGCAGUGACACACCUCACAGAGAGAGAGAGCUGGUUGACACUACAAGCUCUAUUAAAUCCAUGGUGUCUCCACCUCCUCCUAAAAUGUUAUAUUGGACCAGUCCUUCCCUGUAGCUCAGUUGGUAGAGCAUGGUGUUUGCAACGCCAGGGUUGUGGGUUCGAUUCCCACGGGGGGCCAGCACAGAAAAAGAAUGUAUAAAAAAAAUGAAAUUAAAUGUAUGCAUUCACUACUGUAAGUCGCUCUGGAUAAGAGCGUCUGCUAAAUGACUUUAAAAAAAAAUUAUGUAAAAAUGUCUCUGACAGGCCACAUGGACACAGAGCUGUUGCUAGGCUACGACGUGUACCUUCUGAGUGAUGUGAUGGGGCUCAUCUGGAAAAGAGACCAUGGUCUCAGCGUUGACUCUGUGUCAAAAUAAAGGUUCAAUUAUAAACAAAAAUGCCUGAGCGUCUGACAAUCCUGCUGGCUGUGCUGCUGGCUGUGCCCCCCAUCCACUUCCCUGUACUGGACCCCUCUAAGACUACUGCCCUUUAGUGUCUGCUUGUCUGCUCACACUCAUACUUCCAUAUAUAUGAGUAGUUGGGGCUUUCUAUCUGGUAAAUGACAAAAACAUUUACCAAACUGUCUAUCCCAUAGAGUUAUUUGACUUGCCUCCUAUCACAGCACCAUAUUUUAAUGAGUCCAGUUUUAUUAGUGCGCUAAACCGGUACAGCUGUCUGUUUGUCCUAAAGGCCCGUAAGGCAAUGUCAAUGCUGUUUUGUCGAGAUAGGCCUUUCUCCUGGCUCUAUCACAUCUCGUGACGCUGCUGGCCAUCUUCGUCCCUGCCAUCAGGAAUGUGUUUGGGGUUGUGGGUAGGUGUUAAGUCAUUUAACUGAUGGGGUUUCUUUUUGGGGUGUAUUUAUUGUUCCAUUAGCAUCUACUGGUAAUAUUAGGACCUUAUUAGCUAAAUGGGUUUCGAAUGGUUGGUUAAUGUUCUCAUGUUCUUUAAUCUGUAGUUUGCUUUUGGUGUUAAGUAUAGCAUGGUAUACCGUGUGUACAAAGUCUCUGGAAUCUGUCGUGGUAAGUACACACUUCCCAAAUUCAUCCUUAUACUGAAGUUGUUUAGCCUCAUAAAUCAUGGAAAAGACAAGUUUGCAAGGAUCCCCCAAAAAAUGAAAGAAAAUGUUACAUUUUUAAUGGCAAUGUUUUCAUAUCUGCUGGCAAUGUAAUGAUCAUGACUAACCUGUGACUGCACUGUAUUACUAAGAUGAUGUCAUUUCCCUGUGCCCCCAGGCUCUGUUUCUGCUGAUCUUCAGCCUGUUUGUGGGACUGCUCAGUCUGUGUCAUCGUGGUCACCUGGGCAGAGAACCCCUGAACAGGACCACAUGACCAGACAAACUUUGUAACUGCUCCAUGGAGCCUAAAGGGAAAAAUGCUGUCAAAUAAAUAAUAUUUGUCAGCACAACAGGGCGCUAUGACCACCAAACAGGUCAGUGGUAGGACCACAAGAUCACUGCAUCCAGACUCUGAAAGCAUAAGACUGCCCAGUUACUGAAUGUUGCUCUAUGAUGUAUUGAGUGAAUAUACUAUACACUCCUCUAUACAGCACCUCCGCUAUCCAUAGAAGAAAAGUCAUUCAAAUGCUUAUCAACGAUUUCAUUAUAUGAUCCAUUUAUUGUACUGUAAAAUGUUAAAUUAAAGGGAAACAUUGUGAUUUGUAUAAUGA
Salmo salar (Atlantic salmon) is the source of this 4686-nucleotide non-coding RNA. Lineage: Eukaryota; Metazoa; Chordata; Actinopteri; Salmoniformes; Salmonidae. The record is from RefSeq and is a predicted model, not a curated record.